This is a long non-coding RNA of Anolis carolinensis (green anole), 688 nucleotides long. RefSeq lists it as uncharacterized. The transcript is spliced from 3 exons. Lineage: Eukaryota; Metazoa; Chordata; Lepidosauria; Squamata; Anolidae. The record is from RefSeq and is a predicted model, not a curated record.
UUCAACAACUGAUGAAGAGCUUCAGCAGAUUUGGAACAUAUGAGCCAAGUAAUUUGGCUGGUUAAAAGAUGAACUAUUAACAGUUUCCCCCGACGUUGAACGUUAUUGAAGCUAACGUCUCCUUUGAGAUUUCCUCCCAUGUGUUUUCAGAUGAGAACGAGCCUGCUUUAUUGUCUCCUGUAGCCCCAGGAAAGGGGCUGACUCCCUGAGAAAGCACAUUCAGGUUUCCAAACCUCUUCUCCCUUUCAUCUACAUUGCAAAAACAUAAUUCAAAACAAACAGAAGGUUAUGUUGAAUCAACAAUUUAGGAACACUGCAAAAUAUCAUGAAAACAAGGUAGUGUUUGUUGUUUAAUUUUCUCCCUCGUCUCCCUUUAAGUAACACGCAACUAACAGAUCCAGAGAAAAAUCGGAAAGCGGUACAUCAUUACUAUAAACAUGGGAAAAACAAGGAAUCUCAAUUAUGACUUUAAAAAUGUCAUGUGCAAAACAUGAGUCAGUGUACACAUCAAUAACAACAGUUAAAGCAAAAAUACAGUAAAUUCCCAUUACCCACAGAGGAUACAUUCCCAGACUUACAGAUACACAAGACUUCCAACUCAAGAAAGCCAUGGAGUUAUACUGUAGGAUCUAGGAAAUGCAUGGAGAGGUUGGGAAAAGUGGAUAUAUGAAACCACAGUACUGGUCCA